UUUAUCUAUAGGCUAUAAUUGUAUUUAUCUAAUAUAAUUCUAUAG
RNAcentral lists this transfer RNA (45 nucleotides) under Ligia oceanica (common sea slater). Its description in RNAcentral is "tRNA-Ile". The record is from RNAcentral. Lineage: Eukaryota; Metazoa; Arthropoda; Malacostraca; Isopoda; Ligiidae.